Non-coding RNA from Paramuricea clavata, 103 nucleotides. The record is from the annotation of a GenBank genome assembly. Lineage: Eukaryota; Metazoa; Cnidaria; Anthozoa; Malacalcyonacea; Plexauridae.
GCUUUUAAAGAAUUCGAAGGAAUUGAAAUUGCGCUAGAAGCGGUUGUCUUCAUACCAGAUACCUUCUAGCGCAAUUUCAAUUCCUUCGAAUUCUAUAAAAGCC